UCGGAUAGGGUGUAACGGCUAACAUUGCUGCCUCUCAUCCCAACCUUUCUCGAGAGUUUGGUCCGCAGCAGCUCGGGGUUCGAUUCCCCGUAUCCGAA
Non-coding RNA from Coprinopsis cinerea okayama7#130, 98 nucleotides. Lineage: Eukaryota; Fungi; Basidiomycota; Agaricomycetes; Agaricales; Psathyrellaceae. The record is from the annotation of a RefSeq genome assembly.